UGCAGUCGAACGGUGAACACGGAGCUUGCUCUGUGGGAUCAGUGGCGAACGGGUGAGUAACACGUGAGCAACCUGCCCCUGACUCUGGGAUAAGCGCUGGAAACGGCGUCUAAUACUGGAUAUGUGACGUGAUCGCAUGGUCUGCGUCUGGAAAGAAUUUCGGUUGGGGAUGGGCUCGCGGCCUAUCAGCUUGUUGGUGAGGUAAUGGCUCACCAAGGCGUCGACGGGUAGCCGGCCUGAGAGGGUGACCGGCCACACUGGGACUGAGACACGGCCCAGACUCCUACGGGAGGCAGCAGUGGGGAAUAUUGCACAAUGGGCGAAAGCCUGAUGCAGCAACGCCGCGUGAGGGAUGACGGCCUUCGGGUUGUAAACCUGGGUACGGGCAGACUAGAGUGCGGUAGGGGAGAUUGGAAUUCCUGGUGUAGCGGUGGAAUGCGCAGAUAUCAGGAGGAACACCGAUGGCGAAGGCAGAUCUCUGGGCCGUAACUGACGCUGAGGAGCGAAUGCUGGG
This 514-nucleotide ribosomal RNA is filed under the name Microbacterium sp. LT8. RNAcentral's name for it is "bacterial SSU rRNA". It matches the Rfam family "Bacterial small subunit ribosomal RNA", at positions 56 to 764 of the family's 1533-position model. Lineage: Bacteria; Bacillati; Actinomycetota; Actinomycetes; Micrococcales; Microbacteriaceae. The record is from RNAcentral.